UAGGGAAUCUUCGGCAAUGGGGGCAACCCUGACCGAGCAACGCCGCGUGAGUGAAGAAGGUUUUCGGAUCGUAAAGCUCUGUUGUAAGAGAAGAACGUGUGUGAGAGUGGAAAGUUCACACAGUGACGGUAACUUACCAGAAAGGGACGGCUAACUACGUGCCAGCAGCCGCGGUAAUACGUAGGUCCCGAGCGUUGUCCGGAUUUAUUGGGCGUAAAGCGAGCGCAGGCGGUUUAAUAAGUCUGAAGUUAAAGGCAGUGGCUUAACCAUUGUUCGCUUUGGAAACUGUUAAACUUGAGUGCAGAAGGGGAGAGUGGAAUUCCAUGUGUAGCGGUGAAAUGCGUAGAUAUAUGGAGGAACACCGGUGGCGAAAGCGGAUCUCUGGUCUGUAACUGGCGCUGAGGCUCGAAAGCGUGGGGAGCAAACAGG
This 429-nucleotide ribosomal RNA is filed under the name bacterium. Its description in RNAcentral is "partial 16S ribosomal RNA". It matches the Rfam family "Bacterial small subunit ribosomal RNA", at positions 355 to 776 of the family's 1533-position model. The record is from RNAcentral.